GCCCCCCUGGCAUCCCGGCCGCUGGGCGCGGCGGCGCGCAUGCGCAGCUCCUCGGGCCGGCUCCGGCGCACCUUUUCUCCCCGCUGCCACAAUGUGAGCGCCCCGCCGCCCAGAUAACCGCCGACUCCCGCUCCACCCCCGCCCUCCCCCACUCCGCCCACUGCCGAGCGCCCAGGACAUUUAAUCCGUUCCCUACUCUGCCCUGA
This 206-nucleotide long non-coding RNA is filed under the name Vulpes vulpes (red fox). RNAcentral describes it as "lncRNA (ENSVVUG00000003538.1)". The record is from RNAcentral. Lineage: Eukaryota; Metazoa; Chordata; Mammalia; Carnivora; Canidae.